AACGCACGAGACCUGCGGACCUGCGGAGGGAUCAUUAGUGAACGCCCUCACGGGCUUAUAACUAUUCCAAACCUCUGUGAACCGUGCCCUUCGGGGCUAUUUUACGAACAUGGUGUAAUGAACGUCAUAUAUCAUAACAAAACAAAACUUUUAGCAAUGGAUCUCU
Molecule: unclassified non-coding RNA, 166 nt
Filed under: soil metagenome
Description: partial contains 5.8S ribosomal RNA, internal transcribed spacer 2, and large subunit ribosomal RNA
Source: RNAcentral